This 301-nucleotide ribosomal RNA is filed under the name uncultured bacterium. RNAcentral's name for it is "partial 16S ribosomal RNA". It matches the Rfam family "Bacterial small subunit ribosomal RNA", at positions 509 to 807 of the family's 1533-position model. The record is from RNAcentral.
CAGUAGCCGCGGUAAUACGUAGGGUGCAAGCGUUAAUCGGAAUUACUGGGCGUAAAGCGUGCGCAGGCAGUGAUGUAAGACAGUUGUGAAAUCCCCGGGCUCAACCUGGGAACUGCAUCUGUGACUGCAUCGCUGGAGUGCGGCAGAGGGGGAUGGAAUUCCGCGUGUAGCAGUGAAAUGCGUAGAUAUGCGGAGGAACACCGAUGGCGAAGGCAAUCCCCUGGGCCUGCACUGACGCUCAUGCACGAAAGCGUGGGGAGCAAACAGGAUUAGAUACCCGAGUAGUCCCUGUCUCUUAUAC